Molecule: ribosomal RNA, 497 nt
Filed under: uncultured bacterium
Lineage: Bacteria
Description: partial 16S ribosomal RNA
Rfam family: Bacterial small subunit ribosomal RNA
Source: RNAcentral
GACGAACGCUGGCGGCGUGCCUAAUACAUGCAAGUUGAGCGAUGAAGAUUGGUGCUUGCACCAAUUUGAAGAGCAGCGAACGGGUGAGUAACGCGUGGGGAAUCUGCCUUUGAGCGGGGGACAACAUUUGGAAACGAAUGCUAAUACCGCAUAAUAACUUUAAACAUAAGUUUUAAGUUUGAAAGAUGCAAUUGCAUCACUCAAAGAUGAUCCCGCGUUGUAUUAGCUGGUUGGUGAGGUAAAGGCUCACCAAGGCGAUGAUACAUAGCCGACCUGAGAGGGUGAUCGGCCACAGUGGGACUGAGACACGGCCCAAACUCCUACGGGAGGCAGCAGUAGGGAAUCUUCGGCAAUGGACGAAAGUCUGACCGAGCAACGCCGCGUGAGUGAAGAAGGUUUUCGGAUCGUAAAACUCUGUUGGUAGAGAAGAACGUUGGUGAGAGUGGAAAGCUCAUCAAGUGACGGUAACUACCCAGAAAGGGACGGCUAACUACGUG